Molecule: ribosomal RNA, 370 nt
Filed under: uncultured organism
Description: bacterial SSU rRNA
Rfam family: Bacterial small subunit ribosomal RNA
Source: RNAcentral
CGGAGGUGGCAAGCGUUACUCGGAAUUAUUGGGUGUAAAGGGCAAGUAGGUGGUUUAGUAAGUGAGGGGUGAAAUCCUGCGGCUCAAUCGCAGAACUGCCUUUCAAACUGCUAAACUUGAGGGUGACAGAGGGAAAUGGAAUUCUCGGUGUAAGGGUGAAAUCUGUAGAUAUCGGGAAGAACACCAGCGGCGAAGGCGAUUUCCUGGGUCACUCCUGACGCUGAAUUGCGAAAGCUAGGGGAGCAAACAGAAUUAGAUACUCUGGUAGUCCUAGCCGUAAACGAUGAGCACUAGGUGUUGGUUCCGUAUGGAAUCAGUGCCGCAGCUAACGCAUUAAGUGCUCCACCUGGGGACUACGGUCGCAAGGCUA